GAUGAACGCUAGCUACAGGCUUAACACAUGCAAGUCGAGGGGCAGCGCAGUGUAGCAAUACAUGGGCGGCGACCGGCGCACGGGUGCGUAACGCGUAUCCAACCUUCCCGUUACUCAGGGAUAGCCUUCCGAAAGGGAGAUUAAUACCUGAUGGUGUUUGAAUUCCGCAUGUUAUUCAAACUAAAGAUUUAUCGGUAACGGAUGGGGGAUGCGUGACAUUAGAUAGUAGGCGGGGUAACGGCCCACCUAGUCUACGAUGUCUAGGGGUUCUGAGAGGAAGGUCCCCCACACUGGAACUGAGACACGGUCCAGACUCCUACGGGAGGCAGCAGUGAGGAAUAUUGGUCAAUGGUCGGAAGACUGAACCAGCCAAGUAGCGUGAAGGAUGAAGGUUCUAUGGAUUGUAAACUUCUUUUAUACGGGAAUAAAACCUCCCACGUGUGGGAGCUUGUAUGUACCGUAUGAAUAAGCAUCGGCUAACUCCGUG
Molecule: ribosomal RNA, 487 nt
Filed under: uncultured bacterium
Lineage: Bacteria
Description: bacterial SSU rRNA
Rfam family: Bacterial small subunit ribosomal RNA
Source: RNAcentral